UGCCAACUUGAACUUGACGCCUGUCAGGCC
This 30-nucleotide non-coding RNA is filed under the name Rattus norvegicus (Norway rat). The record is from RNAcentral. Lineage: Eukaryota; Metazoa; Chordata; Mammalia; Rodentia; Muridae.